CCCCGAUGGGGGAAGAAGGGAUGGGAGCAGUCCCCAGUGGGGAAGAGGAGGAAUGCCUUCCCAAGGAAAAACUCUCCUCCUUUUAUAGGCUCGGCAUCCUCUCUCUCUCUUCCUUGUUUCACGUCGCGAUAAAGAUGGAUGGCUGCAGGAUGAGGCUGAGAGCUUUCUGCUUAACGUUGAAGAUGCUAGCUCUAUCCCGAUGGCUUGAACAACCUGUGAGGAUAAACUCAGGUUCUGUUUUGCUGUACCAGGAGAUCCGGCGAAGAUGAGUUGGCUGGGAGCUUAUCCAUCGAGAAGAAC
Molecule: long non-coding RNA, 300 nt
Filed under: Phoenix dactylifera (date palm)
Lineage: Eukaryota; Viridiplantae; Streptophyta; Magnoliopsida; Arecales; Arecaceae
Description: long non-coding RNA (PDAC_LNC021716)
Source: RNAcentral